UGGGGGAUAUUGCACAAUGGGCGCAAGCCUGAUGCAGCGACGCCGCGUGGGGGAUGAAGGCCUUCGGGUUGUAAACUUCUUUUGCUCUGAACAAGGCGCACUUUGGGGUGUGUUGAGUGUAGGGGUUGAUUAGCGCCGGCUAACUACGUGCCAGCAGCCGCGGUAAUACGUAGGGCGCGAGCGUUGUCCGGAAUUAUUGGGCGUAAAGGGCUUGUAGGUGGCUGGGUGCGUCUGUCGUGAAAGCUCAUGGCUUAACUGUGGGUUUGCGGUGGGUACGGGCUGGCUUGAGUGCAGUAGGGGAGGCUGGAAUUCCUGGUGUAGCGGUGGAAUGCGCAGAUAUCAGGAGGAAUACCGGUGGCGAAGGCGGGUCUCUGGGCUGUUACUGACACUGAGGAGCGAAAGCAUGGGGAGCGAACAGG
RNAcentral lists this ribosomal RNA (419 nucleotides) under bacterium. RNAcentral's name for it is "partial 16S ribosomal RNA". It matches the Rfam family "Bacterial small subunit ribosomal RNA", at positions 355 to 776 of the family's 1533-position model. The record is from RNAcentral.